Molecule: ribosomal RNA, 496 nt
Filed under: uncultured bacterium
Lineage: Bacteria
Description: partial 16S ribosomal RNA
Rfam family: Bacterial small subunit ribosomal RNA
Source: RNAcentral
GAUGAACGCUGGCGGCGUGCCUAAUACAUGCAAGUCGAGCGAACGGACGAGAAGCUUGCUUCUCUGAUGUUAGCGGCGGACGGGUGAGUAACACGUGGAUAACCUACCUAUAAGACUUGGAUAACUUCUUGAAACCGUAGCUAAUACCGGAUAAUAUUUUGAACCGCAUGGUUCAAAAGUGAAAGACGUUCUUGCUGUCACUUAUAGAUGGAUCCGCGCUGCAUUAGCUAGUUGGUAAGGUAACGGCUUACCAAGGCAACGAUGCAUAGCCGACCUGAGAGGGUGAGCGGCCACACUGGAAGUGAGAGACGGUCCAGACUCAUACGGGAGGCAGGAGGAGGGAAGGGGCAGCAAUGGGCGAAAGCAUGACGGAGGAACGCCGCGUGAGUGAUGGAGGGCUGCGGAUGGGAAAACUCUGUUAGUAGGGAAGAACAUAUGUGCAAGUAACGGUGCAGAUCUUGACGGUACCGAAGCAGAAAGCCACGGCUAACUACGU